Non-coding RNA from Podarcis lilfordi (Lilford's wall lizard), 69 nucleotides. The record is from the annotation of a GenBank genome assembly. NCBI's taxonomy places the organism in Eukaryota, Metazoa, Chordata, Lepidosauria, Squamata, Lacertidae.
GCACUGCUCAGUCUGUUGAGCAUGAGACUCUUAAUCUUAGGGUUGCGGGUUCAAGCCCCACAUUGGGCG